Long non-coding RNA from Drosophila virilis, 517 nucleotides. RefSeq lists it as uncharacterized. The record is from RefSeq and is a predicted model, not a curated record. NCBI's taxonomy places the organism in Eukaryota, Metazoa, Arthropoda, Insecta, Diptera, Drosophilidae.
AAUUUGAUCUAAUCGAAACAGAGUUCCCUUAGACUGAACGUUUACAAAAUAUUUAGUUGCAAAAAUUCUCAAUUUCAGAUAUAGUUUACAAAUAUGGGUAAUCCGGUUUAUUUCGUCUUUUGGCUGCUUAUAUUUUUGUUGUUCUCAUUCUUUGUGGCAUAUUUUUGCUCAUUUUUCUAUGUGUGGACCUAUCUUUUCUCUCAGUGCAUUGAUCCCUGUGGAAAUAUCUCGGAUUUCCUUUUGAAGUGCGUUCAGUUCCCCGGCUACUGUUUUACUGCCAUGAUCGAAUGCAAGAAACCCUGCUGAACAUGGCCACAGAAGAGUAAUUCAUUAUAUUUUAAAAUUUUUUAAUUCGCUGCAGUGUACAUCGUAAUGAAAAGAGAAAUUUAUUGCAUUUCUUCUCUUUAUUAAAAUAAAAUGUCAUCGUUUGGUAUAAGGAAUACACUAAGCUAGAGAGCAUCCAAAUUUGCGCUGGCACAUUCCUUAUAUCAAAUGUUGACUUAUUUUAUUUUCUAAA